This 217-nucleotide unclassified non-coding RNA is filed under the name rhizosphere metagenome. Its description in RNAcentral is "partial ribosomal RNA internal transcribed spacer region". The record is from RNAcentral.
GUAGGUGAACCUGCGGAAGGAUCAUUAUAGAGAACUUGCCCUACGGGGUAGAUCUCCCACCCUUUGUUUACAUUACCUUUGUUGCUUUGACAGGCCCGUCUCCGGACCACCGGCCUAGGCUGGUCAGCGCCUGUCAGAGGAUUAAAACUCUUGUUUAAUUGUCGUCUGAGUACGAUAUAAUCGUUUACAACUUUUAACAAUGGAUCUCUUGGCUCUG